GACGAACGCUGGCGGCGUGCCUAAUACAUGCAAGUAGAACGCUGAAGGAGGAGCUUGCUUCUCUGGAUGAGUUGCGAACGGGUGAGUAACGCGUAGGUAACCUGCCUGGUAGCGGGGGAUAACUAUUGGAAACGAUAGCUAAUACCGCAUAAUAGUAGAUGUUGCAUGAUAUUUGCUUAAAAGGUGCAAUUGCAUCACUACCAGAUGGACCUGCGUUGUAUUAGCUAGUUGGUGGGGUAACGGCUCACCAAGGCGACGAUACAUAGCCGACCUGAGAGGGUGAUCGGCCACACUGGGAAUGAGACACGGCCCAGACUCCUACGGGAGGCAGCAGUAGGGAAUCUUCGGCAAUAGACGGAAGUCUGACCGAGCAACGCCGCGUGAGUGAAGAAGGUUUUCGGAUCGUAAAGCUCUGUUGUAAGAGAAGAACGAGUGUGAGAGUGGAAAGUUCACACUGUGACGGUAUCUUACCAGAAGGGGGCGGCUAAGUACGUG
RNAcentral lists this ribosomal RNA (495 nucleotides) under uncultured bacterium. RNAcentral's name for it is "partial 16S ribosomal RNA". It matches the Rfam family "Bacterial small subunit ribosomal RNA", at positions 28 to 507 of the family's 1533-position model. The record is from RNAcentral.